UAGAUACGUCCAUUUCUGCGACGAGUAAUUUCGAACAGAGGGAGUAUAUUGGAGCUCGCCGGAGUCGGGCGACGGCAGACGGACGCUGGAGACGCAGGGGGCCGGAGCCGGGCGACACCAACCAGGCCACGGGUGGCGUACGAACGAGGGCUUCACCACUAGCCUGGAGAAUGGGGAGAAAGAGGAGGAGAUGCGAUCGUCGGCACGGUGCUGAACCAUCGACCCAACAGUAAGAUGAGUAUGUAUCGUGCAAGAGGAGAUCCUCAUCUACAGCCCACGUCUUGCCAGCCAAUGCGACACAUCUGGUGUACCCAAGGCCGUCCACAUGCGUAAUCAUUUUCAUGUGGGGAUUAAAGUGAUAUGGAAGUUCCAGGCUAAUAGGCUGCCAUCUGCCUCAACAGCUAACAACGCCUCCAUUCCAGACCUUCAAAACCUCGAGCAUCCCCCGUCCAAGGCGUCCCCAACCGGCAGUAAGCAAUCACUUGUUUUCUACCCCAAUAUUGUGUUUGUCUGUCUAAAUGAUUGGCUCUAUGAGAAGUUGCAUUGGAUGAAUUCGUGCUCCAUGAUUAUGGUGGCGAUUUCUGUAUGCAAUUUCUCUGAUUCAUGCUCGAGUGUUGUGGGCCUAUGAACUGGGGGUUCGGGUCAAUUUACAUGGCCUACCCAUUUCUUCAAAACUUUUCACUGCUCGAACUGUAUAGAGUGAAUUGUAGCACAUAUGUGAGCAAAAUCAUGAGGCCAUGAUGGUACAUAUUUGAUACAAUACGUAUGUUUUGCCUUCGUCAAAGUUCUCGGACACAAAAAGCUGGUUUCUUAGUUGCCUGUUUGUAUCUCAAAUGAUUUUUGAGUUUUAUGUUCUGAUAAAAAUGCAUUGCUGUCGGUAAUUAUUCCUUCUAAGUAACCUCCUUCAUCUUCAAGCUAACAAAGGAGAAAAUGUCUCACUAUAAUGAGAAAUUGCGACAAGAGCUGGUAAGUGCUUUCACAACUGCGGCAGUUUUGAACCAAAGUUGUAUUCUAGGGUAUUAUUCUUAAAACAAAUUCCAUCAUUUCUUUAUUUCUUAACCAUUAAUCUCAAUGAGUUGUUUAUAGCUGUCACUGAUGUAAUGUUAAACCGAUUAUAAAAAUGGCCUUUUCUUUUACUUUCUGAUAAUGACAUGCUAAUUCAUCUUAUAUUUCUGUUUUAAGUAACUAUCUCUACAGACUAGCGUACAUUUUAUUUUAAAAACAAGGGGUCUGCCAUGAUACAACAGGUUUCUGGGUAAUUUUAUCUAUUCUACUUUUUCGAUUGAAACAUGAAUAUUUUCUUCGAACAUAUUUUUUUAUAGUCACUGGGCAUGAUAACGAAACUUCAACUCAAUGAAAAAUGCAAGUGAGAGCACGAGGAAUAGGAAUUCAUCUGUGUAACAUAUGGUCACAUUCAUCAUGUUGAUAAGCCAGUUGAAGCGGCACCUCAUGUUCUUACUUUUCUCUAUAGCAGUAAAGCAGAUAAAGUUGGGCUUCUUCUGUGUUGUGAAGACCCAGGUUGUCACUAGGGUGUAAAAAUGCAGACUUUCUUUUAUUGGUUUAUUGAAAGCCUCGCGAUGCUUUGCUUCAGUAUACUUGCAAAUUGAAUUGUUAUAUUGCACUAUUUGGCCAAUGUGCUAAAAGAUCUGGUGAAUAUAAUUGGACCAUGGCCAGUAUGAACAUGGUAACAUGUGCCCUGCCAUACACCUAUCUGUGCAUGAUUUCUAUGUAUAUGCAUCUACAUUUCAGAUCUGGCGGGGGCUGAGAAGCCGCACGACUCACAUAUUCAACUUAAAUGAGGCUUCUUUACAAUACAUGUGGCAUGUAAUUCACAAGAUAUUUUGUGUUCUGUGCCUGCAGAUAGAAUAUGAGGGCAGGGUAAGUUCUGCCUUUUACAAUCUGCGGUUAUUUGUUCUAGGUUAGCAACAGCCUCUUUUUUCCAGGAGAGAACAAGGUAAUAAAUAAGUAGUAAUAUUAGUUAUGCUUAGAUAAGUAACUAAAAAUUAUGAUGGGAUUUAGAAUUGAGUUAUAGGAGAUUUUCAAUUUUACCCUCUUCGGUUCAGAUAAUAGCUUGUCUGUCAUAUACUCCUUUAGCAAAACACCAUCAUAUAUUUUUUCGUUGAAACAAAGCAGCUAACUCGCUUCAGUCAUAGUUCAUCAAGAAUCCUAAUUUGGUAAUGGUAGAUUGUAGCUUAAUUAAGAAGAUUUCCUAGAAGUCAUGUUAGGUUCUUUAGAAAAAUUAAAGUUUCCAACCCAAUUCAGUGAUUUGUGCAUGCUAACAGGGAUUCAUGCAAGCAUGCUAACAGAGAUUCAUGUCGGCAUGCUAACAGAGGAACAUGUUUUAUGAUGAGAACCAAUCAAGUUAUAGGUGCAUAUUAUCAGUGGAAAAAAUUCCUUUAUUGAAACACUAUGAAUUAUUUUUUGAUACAAUGCUCAAGGUUGGGUGUAUAUUUGUAAAAUUGAUGGUUAUUCAUUCAGCUUAGACAACAGUAUAUUGUCAUAUUUUUUUAAUCCUUUCGUUGCUAUAUUCUGCCUUACUUCUAAUAAUGUUCAUCUUUUGGUGUUACUCAUAUAUUAGUUGUAUUUAUCAAGCUUUACAAGAUCACUAUCCAGCAGUUCUUUCUACUUUGUGAAGGAUAUUGUAUACGAAAAAGAUAAUUUUGGUUGGCACUGUUUAGAUGAUGCCAUGCCGCAGCAUCAGGUGGUUGUUAUGAUUGAUGGAGGUCAGAGUCAUAGGAGGACACGGUCUCCUCGUCACCGAGUGGCAUCGUUUGGAUGUUGCAUUCCCCUAUGCCGAAUUGUUGGGUAGAGCGGUAGGAGUGAGGGUUCAUGCGCUCAUCGAGGCCGCUGCGCCCUUUGGGGACGUUACAACAGAGAAGAUGAGAAGCCCGUUGCAACGCACGGGCAUAUGUACUAUGAUUUAUAUAUGUAAAGUGCUUAGAAUUUCAUCUAGUUUCAUAUUUUUCCA
Long non-coding RNA from Triticum aestivum (bread wheat), 2968 nucleotides. RefSeq lists it as uncharacterized. The transcript is spliced from 4 exons. The record is from RefSeq and is a predicted model, not a curated record. Lineage: Eukaryota; Viridiplantae; Streptophyta; Magnoliopsida; Poales; Poaceae.